RNAcentral lists this ribosomal RNA (213 nucleotides) under Klebsiella quasipneumoniae. Its description in RNAcentral is "partial 16S ribosomal RNA". It matches the Rfam family "Bacterial small subunit ribosomal RNA", at positions 1014 to 1227 of the family's 1533-position model. Lineage: Bacteria; Pseudomonadati; Pseudomonadota; Gammaproteobacteria; Enterobacterales; Enterobacteriaceae. The record is from RNAcentral.
GUGCCUUCGGGAACUGUGAGACAGGUGCUGCAUGGCUGUCGUCAGCUCGUGUUGUGAAAUGUUGGGUUAAGUCCCGCAACGAGCGCAACCCUUAUCCUUUGUUGCCAGCGGUUCGGCCGGGAACUCAAAGGAGACUGCCAGUGAUAAACUGGAGGAAGGUGGGGAUGACGUCAAGUCAUCAUGGCCCUUACGACCAGGGCUACACACGUGCUA